Molecule: unclassified non-coding RNA, 215 nt
Filed under: Hevea brasiliensis (rubber tree)
Lineage: Eukaryota; Viridiplantae; Streptophyta; Magnoliopsida; Malpighiales; Euphorbiaceae
Source: RNAcentral
GACACCGAGCGCGGCGCGGAAAACGUCAGGUCGAAGGCCGGAACACGCCGAUCCGCCUUGCCCCCCGCGUUGGUGACAAGCGAGGACCCGUUCUCGCCGAGCCCUUCAUAGACGCAGGGGGAGGCCUGUUUGCCGACCCUUCUGCACCCCCCNAGAUCCCCCUGCGGCGCAUACCAGACGCCAUCCGGCUCCCGCUCACCAAGAUAGUAUUCGGC